GGUAUAGCUCAGUGGUAGGGUGUGUGCUUGGCAUGCAUGAUGUCCUGGGUUUGGGUUUAAUCCCCAGUACC
This 71-nucleotide transfer RNA is filed under the name Camelus bactrianus (Bactrian camel). It matches the Rfam family "tRNA". Rfam says of the family: Transfer RNA (tRNA) molecules are approximately 80 nucleotides in length. Their secondary structure includes four short double-helical elements and three loops (D, anti-codon, and T loops). RNAcentral also lists the same sequence under 1 other name. The record is from Rfam by way of RNAcentral. Lineage: Eukaryota; Metazoa; Chordata; Mammalia; Artiodactyla; Camelidae.